GACCCAACCCAGGUCUGCUGACUCCUAGUCCAGUGCUUGUGAUGGCCAUUGGGCCCUGAACUAGGGGCCUGGAGGCCUGGGUUUGAUUAUC
This 91-nucleotide microRNA precursor is filed under the name Loxodonta africana (African savanna elephant). RNAcentral describes it as "mir-345 microRNA precursor family". It matches the Rfam family "mir-345 microRNA precursor family". Lineage: Eukaryota; Metazoa; Chordata; Mammalia; Proboscidea; Elephantidae. The record is from Rfam by way of RNAcentral.